This 1330-nucleotide long non-coding RNA is filed under the name Homo sapiens (human). RNAcentral's name for it is "HSALNT0396532". The record is from RNAcentral. Lineage: Eukaryota; Metazoa; Chordata; Mammalia; Primates; Hominidae.
GAAGUGUUGUUAUUACAGGCGUGAGCCACCGCGCCCGGCCCCAUAAAUUUUUAAUAGGAGAAAAGGGAAACUGUGAACCCUGACAGAUAUAAUAGAUUCCUCUUCAAGGGCCUAACUUUCUUGUUCCUUGUUCUUAGGACCAACUUUUUUGUACCUCUUUGUACCUAGACACCCGCUCCGUAAACAACCCAAACCGCCUGUUCCAAUCUGCGACCCGAACCCCUUCCUUAUUUGGAAAGUAGCCAAUCGGGUCAGCCUAGAUUGUGAGGUCAGACCCCGGCCAAUGGGGGAAGGACACAGAGGCAAUAACGGCGUUUAGGGUUAAAAACCCCUUUCAAACUGGGAGGCCGAGGCGGGCGGAUCAACUGAGUUCGGGAGUUCAAAACCAGCCUGACCAACAUGUUGCGGAAGGCCCUCGUGACUGGACCUCCUGCCAAACAACUCGUUACAAAAAACUGAGGGUACCAGACUGCGCCAAAGCUUCAUGAGACCUGUCCUCAUCUGUGCAGAAAUGAGUGGCCGACUCUGGAACCCAGGCUGUUGCUUACCACCUUGGUGGUGAAACCUCCAUACUCUAGUCCUGAAGGGGCGAGGCCUUAAGCAUUAUCCAAUCAGGGACACUGGGCUGGAAACCGUCCAAUCAGACACCCAGCUGGAGCGAACAGGUCGACUUCCGAGUUUGGCGGGGCCUUUGUCUCUCACUGCACCUGGAGCUCCAGGUCUCAUCUUCACUACUCUGUGUCCUCUGCUGCUGGAGGCCCAGCCCUGUGACCUGACGGUUUUGGGAGAUCCACAGCUAAGACGCCAGGACCUCCUGGAAGCCUAGAAAUGGACCACCUGAAGCAUGGAGUGUAGACUUUCAAGGGAGCAGGUGGCAGCCUUGGGGCUGAAAGGCAUCUUCUGGUGCACUUUUUUUUUUUUGAAAAGCUAACCCCUUGAGACAUGAAGAUUGUCUUCACUCAACCUGGCUUUCAUUUCUAGGAGACACAUUGCUGGUCAGUCAAUCAGAUGCUGGUAUUGAGGGGAAAACAAAUAAUUUCUGUCUUCUGGAUUAUCUUGUGGGAGGGGCAGAAAAAUAGUGAAAAAACACUCCAAAAGACAAAAAACUGACCCCAGUGAGAUGGCAUAAAUAACUUACAAAGUAAAAUGCACCUGGGGCACUCACUGGGGCAUAGUGCAGUGUCUCCUGGGAGGGUGGUUAUUGCGCAUGUAAGUGAACAGGAUGGGGUGGGUGAUUGGAUCUGUACCUUGAAAAGAUUUGUUUACUUAUUUUGACCUCAGUUUUUUUUUAGACAGUCUCCCUCUGUUGCAUAGGCUGGAAUGCAGUGGC